CCUACGGGAGGCAGCAGUGAGGAAUAUUGCUCAAUGGGCGCGAGCCUGAACCAGCCAAGUCGCGUGAAGGAUGACUGCCCUACGGGUUGUAAACUUCUUUUAUAAAGGGAUAAAGUGAGGCACUUGUGCCUUUUUGUAUGUACUUUAUGAAUAAGGAUCGGCUAACUCCGUGCCAGCAGCCGCGGUAAUACGGAGGAUCCGAGCGUUAUCCGGAUUUAUUGGGUUUAAAGGGAGCGUAGAUGGGGUGUUAAGUCAGUUGUGAAAGUUUGGGGCUUAACCGUAAAAUUGCAAUUGAUACUGGCAGUCUUGAGUACAGUUGAGGGAGGCGGAAUUCGUGGUGUAGCGGUGAAAUGCUUAGAUAUCACGAAGAACUCCGAUUGCGAAGGCAGCUUACUAAACUGCCACUGACAUUGAUGCUCGAAAGCGUGGGGAGCAAACAGGAUUAGAUACCCCUGUAGUC
Molecule: ribosomal RNA, 460 nt
Filed under: uncultured bacterium
Lineage: Bacteria
Description: partial 16S ribosomal RNA
Rfam family: Bacterial small subunit ribosomal RNA
Source: RNAcentral